This is a non-coding RNA of Ailuropoda melanoleuca (giant panda), 318 nucleotides long. NCBI's taxonomy places the organism in Eukaryota, Metazoa, Chordata, Mammalia, Carnivora, Ursidae. The record is from Rfam.
GGAUGUGAGGGCCACCUAGCUGUGACAUCAGUCACCUCACUGACUGCCAGGUUUGAUCUGGCUGAUGUGGUUGGCUAGAUAGUGUUUCUUUCCUCCCCCUUCUGGCACACCCAUGUACAUCCCCUUCCCCUGAAGCUGUGAGAUCAGUCAGAGAAAACCUUCCCCAACACAGGAGGUUUAUUCUUUGGUCAAGGGCAAGUGAGUGAGUUUGUGUGUUCCCCCACUAGAGCACUAAGAGACUCCUCCAUUUUCAGGCUCCCAAGAAGUAUUGGGGUGACUCAGUGAGUGGUAGGACACAGUGGGAAGCUGUCCCUUCCU